Long non-coding RNA from Mus musculus (house mouse), 610 nucleotides. RefSeq annotates it as DNA segment, Chr 16, ERATO Doi 519, expressed. NCBI's taxonomy places the organism in Eukaryota, Metazoa, Chordata, Mammalia, Rodentia, Muridae. The record is from RefSeq and is marked validated. The transcript has 3 exons.
AUGCUGCAGGUGGCGAGAAGAGGUGACUGCUUUUAGAGACCUGAGGGAGGAGGACAGAGCUUCUUGGAUCUUCAAGAGUGAUGCUACAUGAGGAGAGGCAAAAUGAUGCGUCUGAUUCAGAACCGUUCACUGAAGCUGUCAUCUUGUUUCUUUAAGACAAAUUCUUGGAUUGACCUGGAAGUCAUCAAGCAGGCUCCACUGGAUGGCCGUUUCAGUCCACCUCAGUGAGCUCUGAGUCCAUGAUGAGGCAGAGGGUCAUCAUGAGCAGCAUGUUGCUGAAGAAAGAAGCUGGAAGAAUAAAGAGAAGACAAGGGGAAGAAACAACACAUAGCUUCCCAGAGGCAUGCCCAUACUGGUUUACUUCCUUGGACCAUACUCUACCUUCUACUUUUUGUCACAUCCCAAUAAUGUCAUCUUAUAAUUAAUCUUUCAAGAGAUUAAUCCAUUGAAUAAAUCAGAGCCUAUAGAAUCCAAGGGUUUCUCAAAAGCCCAAGAGCUAGAAAACCUACUCUAUGUGUAGAGAUACUUCCUAUUAAAAUAAUAGUACAUAGUUGGUUGGUUGUUCAUAUAUUGAUUUUAUAUAUAUCAAUAAAAUGACCUUGGCUCAUUC